This 245-nucleotide ribosomal RNA is filed under the name uncultured Collimonas sp. Its description in RNAcentral is "partial 16S ribosomal RNA". It matches the Rfam family "Bacterial small subunit ribosomal RNA", at positions 524 to 768 of the family's 1533-position model. The record is from RNAcentral. Lineage: Bacteria; Pseudomonadati; Pseudomonadota; Betaproteobacteria; Burkholderiales; Oxalobacteraceae.
UACGUAGGGUGCAAGCGUUAAUCGGAAUUACUGGGCGUAAAGCGUGCGCAGGCGGUUUUUCAAGACAGAUGUGAAAUCCCCGGGCUUAACCUGGGAAUGGCAUUUGUGACUGGAAGGCUAGAGUGUGUCAGAGGGGGGUAGAAUUCCACGUGUAGCAGUGAAAUGCGUAGAGAUGUGGAGGAAUACCGAUGGCGAAGGCAGCCCCCUGGGAUAACACUGACGCUCAUGCACGAAAGCGUGGGGAG